GACGAACGCUGGCGGCGUGCUUAACACAUGCCAGUCGAACGGAAAGGCCCUGCUUUUGUGGGGUGCUCGAGUGGCGAACGGGUGAGUAACACGUGAGUAACCUGCCCUUGACUUUGGGAUAACUUCAGGAAACUGGGGCUAAUACCGGAUAGGAGCUCCUGCUGCAUGGUGGGGGUUGGAAAGUUUCGGCGGUUGGGGAUGGACUCGCGGCUUAUCAGCUUGUUGGUGGGGUAGUGGCUUACCAAGGCUUUGACGGGUAGCCGGCCUGAGAGGGUGACCGGCCACAUUGGGACUGAGAUACGGCCCAGACUCCUACGGGAGUCAGCAGUGGGGAAUAUUGCACAAUGGGCGGAAGCCUGAUGCAGCAACGCCGCGUGCGGGAUGACGGCCUUCGGGUUGUAAACCGCUUUCGCCUGUGACGAAGCGUGAGUGACGGUAAUGGGUAAAGAAGCACCGGCUAACUACGUG
Molecule: ribosomal RNA, 468 nt
Filed under: uncultured bacterium
Lineage: Bacteria
Description: partial 16S ribosomal RNA
Rfam family: Bacterial small subunit ribosomal RNA
Source: RNAcentral